AUGGAAGGACGGAUGCUUCUUUCUCUUCACAAAUACCUCAUGGACGUCGUCUUUGGGAAAGCCGGAGGGGGCGGCUGGGGCAGGGCCUGUCCCUGGGCCAGGGUGGAUGGAAGCGGGUGGGCGGGGCUGAGAGAGGGUGUCAGGGACAGGGGUGAAGAGCCCCAAACUCCCCGCCCCCCCAAUCAACUGAAAAGCUUUAAAAAAAAAAGACAGGAAAAAAAAGGAGUAAGAGCAAAAAGAAUGGACGAAGGAAAACUAACAACUUUCGGGUGGUUUGAUUCCUCCUUUGAUUUCUUUUUCUGUUCUUUUCUGUCCCCUCUCCUGUCUCCUUCUUUCUCUCCCUUCCCUCUUCUUCCUCUUCCUUUGCUCUUCUCUCAUCUCUCUCAACCUCUUUCUUUCUGUGUCUCUCCUCAAACCAAAGUGUCGCUGUGAAGGACGCGAGCCAUUGAAGUUUGAGUGGAGCCCAGCAGCCGCUGGGCCGGAGCAGAGGGAGGGGAGAGCCCGCUGCAGCUGGGCGGCUUCCACUUUCUGCUGGACACUCCGGGGAGAGCAAAACGGAGCCCCAGGCCUCAGCGAUCUCUUUUUUUCUUGUCUCCCUUCUCCCACCCGGGAAAUGAAACUGUUGGGCUGGGCCAUGGAGGCAGCAGAGACUCGGCCGUUGCAGGGACCUCCGGGUGCCUUCUCUGGGCAGCGGUGGAGUGGCCGCCCCCCCCAACCCUGGCACCGAUGGGGCCUGGCACCGUGUCGACCCAUCCUCGCCGGAAUGUAAGCAUCUCUGCCAAACCGACUCCCUGCCCUUACCCUACCUCCGAGUUUGUCCAUGUUUAUUUCCUGAAGAGAGAAGGGAUUGGCGAGAGGGCCUGGGCCCCAGCCCAAGGGUGGAGAGGGGGCCAAGGGCUCCUGACCAGAUAGGAAGGACAUUUGAGCAGAGCAAAAUGAAAGGAAUUACAACCAAAAACCCCCUCCGAGAAGACAGGCAGCAUGGAAGGCAUGGUGGAGAUGACUCAAACAAAAACUAUGAUUCUAGACCAAAAAAACAACAAAAAACAAAAAACAAAAAAAAAAAGAAAAUCCAGGACUCACCAUCACCCACUUGAUCCUGCUUCCUCCCCGUCAAGUCCCACCACCUGGGACCUCUCCCACCCCAGGGUGGGGGAGUGGGGCAAAGAGCAGAGGAGGAAGCAGGGGGCAGGGAUGGGGCAGAUGCCCUGACAUUGGUGGAGGGACCCCCGUGCAGCCGGGGGUACUGGGGACCCUCCCCAUUCAACCCCCACAACUGGGAAAAGUAAAGCAAGAAAAAAGAAAAUUCCUGGGAGGGGGAAAAAAUAACCAAAUCCCAAGCUUUAACUACAGCUGUGAAACCAAAUAUUGGGAGGGGGGUGGGAGGGAGGGAGGGGCAGGUGAGCCCCAGGUCUCCCCCCUGGGCCCCCCUCCCCCGAGGACUCGAGAUAAGGCACCAAAUACCUCAUAGAACUUUAAUAUUAAAAAAAGGAAACCAAAUAUCGUUGGCUGGGGGCCAGCCAGGGCAAGGGGCUGGGGGGCUGGAGGGAGCCAGGGUUGGGAAGGUGAUGGGGGAAUUCACGCCCCCCACCCCCCUCUGCCCCUUCCACUCCGGUCCCCCUCGACUCCGGGAAACAAAACUAUCUCAUCGUUUUUAUUUUGUGGUCUGUACAGAGCCUGUGUCCGUGUGUCUGUGUGUGAGCGAGAGAGUUGGAGGGCUGGGGAGCUUUCUGUGGGGGACGGGGAGGGAAAAACCCCAGGCCAGGCUCUGGGCUAGGUUAGGUGUCUAAGGUGGGGGGCCAGGGGCCUGGGCUAGAAAGAGAGGCGAGAGGAGUGGAUUGGAGCAAGGGGGAGCCCUCUGAAUUUCUCUUCUCCCCUACCCUGACCUCCUGCAUAAGGGAGGGACAGAGACUGGGUCUACCCUAAUGGUGGGCCUUUUGAUUGUGCCAAAAAAAAAAAAAAAUGCCAGUAACUAAACCACCUCUCUCUGUUCUCUCUGGGGGGUGGGGUUGGGAUGUGUGUGGGGGUGGGUUGCGAUGGGGGAACCCAGGCCCUUGUAGGAGUUGGGCUAAGAUCAGGAGGAGGGGAAGGAUGUGAGUUUUCCACCCACCUCCUCCCUGGGGAAGGCCAAGAGAGGGCCUUCAAACCCUGGGAAGAUACGGUGAGGCACUGGCCAAGUUGGGGGUGACCUCUGAACCUGCCUAGUUUUUUUCACCCACCCAAACCCCAGGGUGCCUCUCUCUUCCUCUAGCCCAGGGUAGGGGGAACUGAGUGAGAGAGCGAGUGAGACCGAGUGAGCAAGAUUGAGACACGCGGGCCCCCACUGGUCUCUGAGUGGGAAAGGCAAGUGCGAGAGAUAAAGGCCUCCAAGAGAAAAAAGAAACAAACCAAAGAUUUAACCAUUAAAAAAAAAAAAAAAACCCACAGACAACUCCGCUACCUUUUUAUAUGUUGGAAAAAAAAAGUGAAAAAAAUUUAAAAAUAAAAAUUAAAAAAAAUACACAAAAAACUCCAAGCCGCAGGUCCUUCGUGCGGUUUGAACUUUGACCUCAGCAGUCUCCAAAGCAAGAUGACGAUGACGACAAAGGCGGAAUAAAAAGAAAAAAUAAUGUAUAUUUUUAAGUAUUUGUCCUUGAGAUGUUAGCUCCUUGUUAAACAAACAAAAAAAGGAGAGAAAAAUUCAGAGAGCAGUGUUGCUGGGACGGAGACAACUAUUUACUAUGUCUGUGACCCCUCCCCUUUGCCUCCCUCCCCUCCUUCUCCUCUUUCCUCUCCUCUACCCCUGCUGUCCCUCCCCCAACCUGUCCCCCAAGCCCAGGGGCUCAGUAUUUAUUUAUUUAUAUAAUCGCAGGGUGACUGGGGGCCUCUUGACAACUCACAGAGGGCCUUUGGAUCACGGUGGGGUGGGGAAAGGGCAGGGAAUCUUUGGGAAAAGCAGGGGCCUGAUCUUUGAUCAACUCCUUUCUGGCCUCUUGUCCCACUGCUGCCACCAUCACCUCCCAAAUCCAGGGCUGCACUAGGGUAAGGUGACCACCCUCGCUUGGAAAGGUCUGCUUGGCUCAGCCUUUUCUGGUGUGGGGUGUCUCACCUACUCACUUGAAGGACCAGGUUGGAAUGAGGGUGAGGGGACUCGGAGGGGGAGGCAAAUAGUGGGCAAGGGAGACCCAAGAAGUGGCAUCCAGAAAUGGAGUAGGCCCCAGAGUAGACCUGCCUUUCCUACAUUCUCACCAAGUUAGCCCCGCUUUCGGUUCUGACCCGUGUUGGUAGCCCUGCCCUUCCCACCCUAUACCCUCUCCCUGUCUCUUCUCGUGGUAGCGGGUUAGCGUUUCAGUGUUCUUAACUCCAAUCUGCUUGUUCAUUGUACAAUGUGCUUCUUUUAAGGCCCCAUUUUUGUAACUUGAGUGUGUCAUUCAUCUGAACAACAAACAUCAAAAAAUAAAAAAUUAAAAACUGUACAGAGAGAAAUGA
Molecule: RNA transcript, 3468 nt
Organism: Lemur catta (Ring-tailed lemur)
Lineage: Eukaryota; Metazoa; Chordata; Mammalia; Primates; Lemuridae
Exons: 1
Source: RefSeq, a predicted model, not a curated record